This 253-nucleotide ribosomal RNA is filed under the name uncultured bacterium. RNAcentral's name for it is "partial 16S ribosomal RNA". It matches the Rfam family "Bacterial small subunit ribosomal RNA", at positions 524 to 776 of the family's 1533-position model. The record is from RNAcentral.
UACAGAGGGGGCAAGCGUUGUUCGGAAUUACUGGGCGUAAAGGGCGCGUAGGCGGCCUGUUAAGUCGAACGUGAAAUCCCUGGGCUCAACCCAGGAACUGCGUCCGAUACUGGCAGGCUUGAAUUCGGGAGAGGGAUGCGGAAUUCCAGGUGUAGCGGUGAAAUGCGUAGAUAUCUGGAGGAACACCGGUGGCGAAGGCGGCAUCCUGGACCGAUAUUGACGCUGAAGCACGAAAGCGUGGGGAGCAAACAGG